Molecule: ribosomal RNA, 490 nt
Filed under: uncultured bacterium
Lineage: Bacteria
Description: partial 16S ribosomal RNA
Rfam family: Bacterial small subunit ribosomal RNA
Source: RNAcentral
AUUGAACGCUGGCGGCAGGCCUAACACAUGCAAGUCGAACGGUAACAGGAAGCAGCUUGCUGCUUUCCUGACGAGUGGCGGACGGGUGAGUAAUGUCUGGGAAACUGCCUGAUGGAGGGGGAUAACUACUGGAAACGGUAGCUAAUACCGCAUAACGUCGCAAGACCAAAGAGGGGGACCUUCGGGCCUCUUGCCAUCGGAUGUGCCCAGAUGGGAUUAGCUUGUUGGUGGGGUAACGGCUCACCAAGGCGACGAUCCCUAGCUGGUCUGAGAGGAUGACCAGCCACACUGGAACUGAGACACGGUCCAGACUCCUACGGGAGGCAGCAGUGGGGAAUAUUGCACAAUGGGCGCAAGCCUGAUGCAGCCAUGCCGCGUGUAUGAAGAAGGCCUUCGGGUUGUAAAGUACUUUCAGCGGGGAGGAAGGGAGUAAAGUUAAUACCUUUACUCAUUGACGUUACCCGCAGAAGAAGCACCGGCUAACUCCGUG